AAAUUGUCGAAAAUGUUGAAGGUGAUGCCAACUUGAUGAGCCAUUGUGAACCGGGCUUGAGGAUGGAGCUUGGUAGAUUCUAAGCCCAAUCUUCAUAACCAAGAACAAGAAGAUCUCUUGUUUACGCUGCAAGAACUUUUUCCAGCAAAAAGAGCCGAACACACCACACCCAAUUGACUUCUUAGCUCUGCUCCACGACCAAAGAAAUCCCACAAAUUCACGAUGAAGUGCCAGAGAUUUUUAUCGAUUCCAGUCUUUUCUGUGUUUCUGUUA
Molecule: unclassified non-coding RNA, 273 nt
Filed under: Hevea brasiliensis (rubber tree)
Lineage: Eukaryota; Viridiplantae; Streptophyta; Magnoliopsida; Malpighiales; Euphorbiaceae
Source: RNAcentral